Molecule: ribosomal RNA, 253 nt
Filed under: uncultured bacterium
Lineage: Bacteria
Description: partial 16S ribosomal RNA
Rfam family: Bacterial small subunit ribosomal RNA
Source: RNAcentral
GACAGAGGGUGCAAACGUUGUUCGGAAUUACUGGGCGUAAAGCGCGUGUAGGCGGCCUUGCAAGUCGGAUGUGAAAGCCCUGGGCUCAACCCAGGAAGUGCACUCGAAACUGCAAGGCUUGAGUUCCGGAGAGGAAAGCGGAAUUCUCGGUGUAGAGGUGAAAUUCGUAGAUAUCGGGAGGAACACCAGUGGCGAAGGCGGCACUCUGGGCCAGUACUGACACUGAGGAGCGAAAGCGUGGGGAGCGAACAGG